GAUGAAGAACGCAGCGAAAUGCGAUAAGUAAUGUGAAUUGCAGAAUUCAGUGAAUCAUCGAAUCUUUGAACGCACAUUGCGCCCGCCAGUAUUCUGGCGGGCAUGCCUGUCUGAGCGUCAUUUCAACCCUCAUGCCCCUAGGGCGUGGUGUUGGGGUUCGGCCAAAGCCCGCGAGGGACGGCCGGCCCCUAAAUCUAGUGGCGGACCCGUCGUGGCCUCCUCUGCGAAGUAGUGAUAUUCCGCAUCGGAGAGCGAUGAGCCCCUGCCGUUAAACCCCCAACUUUCCAAGGUUGACCUCAGAUCAGGUAGGAAUACCCGCUGAACUUAAGCAUAUCAAUAAGCGGAGGA
This 348-nucleotide unclassified non-coding RNA is filed under the name soil metagenome. RNAcentral describes it as "partial contains 5.8S ribosomal RNA, internal transcribed spacer 2, and large subunit ribosomal RNA". The stretch from base 1 to 120 matches the Rfam family "5.8S ribosomal RNA", at positions 35 to 154 of the family's 154-position model. The record is from RNAcentral.